Molecule: ribosomal RNA, 433 nt
Filed under: uncultured bacterium
Lineage: Bacteria
Description: partial 16S ribosomal RNA
Rfam family: Bacterial small subunit ribosomal RNA
Source: RNAcentral
AACGAACGCUGGCGGCAUGCCUAACGCAUGCAAGUCGAACGAGACCUUCGGGUCUUGUGGCGCACGGGUGCGUAACGCGUGGGAACCUGCCCUUAGGUUCGGCAUAACUCCCCGAAAGGGGUGCUAAUACCGGAUAAUGUCUUCGGACCAAAGAUUUAUCGCCUUUGGAUGGGCCCGCGUUGGAUUAGCUAGUUGGUAGGGUAAUAGCUUACCAAGGCGACGAUCCAUAGCUGGUCUGAGAGGAUGAUCAGCCACACUGGGACUGAGAAACGGCCCAGACUCCUACGGGAGGCAGCAGUGGGGAAUAUUGGACAAUGGGCGAAAGCCUGAUCCAGCAAUGCCGCGUGAGUGAUGAAGGCCUUAGGGUUGUAAAGCGCUUUUACCCGGGAUGAUAAUGACAGUACCGGGAGAAUAAGCUCCGGCUAACUCCGUG